Hyaena hyaena (striped hyena) is the source of this 563-nucleotide long non-coding RNA. RefSeq lists it as uncharacterized. The record is from RefSeq and is a predicted model, not a curated record. NCBI's taxonomy places the organism in Eukaryota, Metazoa, Chordata, Mammalia, Carnivora, Hyaenidae. The transcript has 4 exons.
CUUCUCCUAUACGCUCUCUCCGUCAUCUUGUUGCAAUCAAACAACAGGAUGGGGCCCCUUCCUUGACUACAGAUAGCCUCGGGAGCUUUUCCUUCUGCUGCCGCAUGAGACUGAGGACAUGCCAAUCAUCGAGAGGUGAUGGACUCUAUUUGGUGGCCUAUAAAAAGCGUUCCAAACAAGUUACCCACAGGAAGAAAAUACAAUAUCACAAGGGAGGAAUCCCGUUCCCGGGAGUGACUAAUGGACUAUGGCGGCAAUGAUGAAAUGUCCAAGAAUUCCGAAAUGAGUAGCCAUAUAAAGUUGAACCUGCUGGGGAGGCCCUCAGGAAUCCUAGACCACGCGGAGGAGAACCUAGGCAGUCUGCAAUGACUGCCGGCCAUGUAUGUGCACCAUCUUGGGAGGAAGUCCUUCAGCCCCAGGCCAGGUUCCAGGAGAUGCAUCCCGGCUGCCGCCUUGACAACCACGUCAGGAGAGGCCCUACCCAGGACCAGACACCUACCCCUGCUCCUGGAUUUCUGACCUCAGCAACUGGAAGGUAAACAGCCUGGUUUGAGCCACUCAGA